UACGUAGGGAGCAAGCGUUGUUCGGAUUUACUGGGCGUAAAGGGCGCGUAGGCGGCGCGGUAAGUCACUUGUGAAAUCUCUGAGCUUAACUCAGAACGGCCAAGUGAUACUGCAGUGCUAGAGUGCAGAAAGGGCAAUCGGAAUUCUUGGUGUAGCGGUGAAAUGCGUAGAUAUCAAGAGGAACACCUGAGGUGAAGGCGAGUUGCUAGGCUGACACUGACGCUGAUGCGCGAAAGCGUGGGGAGCGAACAGG
RNAcentral lists this ribosomal RNA (253 nucleotides) under uncultured bacterium. Its description in RNAcentral is "partial 16S ribosomal RNA". It matches the Rfam family "Bacterial small subunit ribosomal RNA", at positions 524 to 776 of the family's 1533-position model. The record is from RNAcentral.